Capsicum annuum is the source of this 953-nucleotide long non-coding RNA. RefSeq lists it as uncharacterized. The transcript has 2 exons. NCBI's taxonomy places the organism in Eukaryota, Viridiplantae, Streptophyta, Magnoliopsida, Solanales, Solanaceae. The record is from RefSeq and is a predicted model, not a curated record.
AAAAAAAGCAACAAUUUCAACGCAAAACACCAACCAAAAUCCACCAACCGACCCCUAUUCGUAUAACACUGUACAAUAUCAACAACGACUAUUUCAUCAACCACCAAUAAUGACUUCAACAAGCAGACGAAAUUUUCAACCUUCAACAAUACAACAUUGGCAAAAAACAGCUCAUCAACCUCAUCUCAAUUUUUCAAAUUCAAAUCUCAAUUCGUUUUCCCUUUUUAACCCUCUGCUUUCCCCAAAAAUAACCCCAAAUUCUUCGAUAAAUACUCACCUAUGUAGAGAGAAAAGGAGGAGGAUUUUUGGGAAAAAAUUUGAGAAUUCGAGAGGCACGUGCUUCUAAUCCUACAUAACCAAAAAUUCUCGAAGAAACGGACUGAAGAGUUCGAUUUCAACAAAAAUUAAACUCCAAAUUUAGUGUUGAAAGUUUCUUCGUCAAGGCUCGUCGUCGAGUUCGCUGCUUUUUCGACUUCCAUCCCUCACAUUCCAUUGGGUUAAACCCAAUUUGUAUCUAGUCAAGACCCAUGCCAUAUCGACAAAAUAGAUCAAUAUACCAUGGACAGAUGCUGGGAUACAUAGUAAUCAGCAGAUAUACACAGAUAUUUGGCAAUAUAUGAGAAGAAGGAAGUUGAUUAUUCAGCUGGAGGAUCAAAGGGGGCGUAUAUGACUGAUUUUCAGUCACGUAUACGUCAAUUAUGCAAAAAAUGUGAAGAAUUGAGCUGUGAUAUACAGCUGAUAUACACAGCUGAAAGAGGGCUGAGAAAAGUUCAUUUAAAUAGAACCAAAACCAAUGCUGUCCAGAUUUGAAAAUUGGUUAAAAAAAGGGGCCCAAAUCCCAACUUCAAUUAUUGUAUUAAUUUUUGUAACUUAAUCUUUGUUUAUUUGUAUUAAUUAACUUGUAAAUCAACUAAUCUAGGUAAAUUUCCUAAGAUGUUGUCCUUUUUAUUUUA